AUUGAAACACCAAUUCUCAUACGAUCACUGAAGUUAAGACAUGUCAAGCCUAGUCAGUACCUAGAUGGGUGAUUGUUUGGCAAUACCAGGUGCUGUAAG
Non-coding RNA from Acanthosepion pharaonis, 99 nucleotides. The record is from the annotation of a GenBank genome assembly. Lineage: Eukaryota; Metazoa; Mollusca; Cephalopoda; Sepiida; Sepiidae.